RNAcentral lists this transfer RNA (72 nucleotides) under Marmota monax (woodchuck). RNAcentral's name for it is "tRNA.Ala". It matches the Rfam family "tRNA". Rfam says of the family: Transfer RNA (tRNA) molecules are approximately 80 nucleotides in length. Their secondary structure includes four short double-helical elements and three loops (D, anti-codon, and T loops). The record is from RNAcentral. Lineage: Eukaryota; Metazoa; Chordata; Mammalia; Rodentia; Sciuridae.
GGGGUUGUGGCUCAGUGGUAGAGUGCCUUGCCUUGCAUGCAUGAGGCCCUGGGUUCGGUCCUCAGCGCCACA